GAUGAACGCUGGCGGCGUGCCUAAUACAUGCAAGUCGAGCGAACAGACGAGAGUGCUUGCACUCUCUGACGUUAGCGGCGGACGGGUGAGUAACACGUGGGUAACCUACCUAUAAGACUGGGAUAACUUCGGGAAACCGGAGCUAAUACCGGAUAAUAUUUAGCUUCGCAUGAAGCAAUAGUGAAAGACGGUUCUGCUAUCACUUAUAGAUGGACCCGCGGUGUAUUAGCUAGUUGGUGAGGUAACGGCUCACCAAGGCAACGAUACAUAGCCGACCUGAGAGGGUGAUCGGCCACACUGGGACUGAGACACGGCCCAGACUCCUACGGGAGGCAGCAGUAGGGAAUCUUCCGCAAUGGACGAAAGUCUGACGGAGCAAUGCCGCGUGAGUGAAGAAGGUUUUCGGAUCGUAAAACUCUGUUGUAAGGGAAGAACAAGUACGUUAGUAACUGAACGUACCUUGACGGUACCUUACCAGAAAGCCACGGCUAACUACGUG
This 499-nucleotide ribosomal RNA is filed under the name uncultured bacterium. Its description in RNAcentral is "partial 16S ribosomal RNA". It matches the Rfam family "Bacterial small subunit ribosomal RNA", at positions 28 to 507 of the family's 1533-position model. The record is from RNAcentral.